CCUACGGGAGGCAGCUGUGAGGAAUAUUGGUCAAUGGUCGGGAGACUGAACCAGCCAAGCCGCGUGAGGGAUGAAGGUACAGAGUAUCGUAAACCUCUUUUGUCAGGGAACAAAGGCGGGGACGUGUCCCCGGAUGAGUGUACCUGAAGAAAAAGCAUCGGCUAACUCCGUGCCAGCAGCCGCGGUAAUACGGAGGAUGCGAGCGUUAUCCGGAUUUAUUGGGUUUAAAGGGUGCACAGGCGGUCUGUUAAGUCAGCGGUAAAAGCCCGGGGCUCAACCCCGGCCCGCCGUUGAAACUGGCAGUCUCGAGUUGGAGAGAAGUAUGCGGAAUGCGCGGUGUAGCGGUGAAAUGCAUAGAUAUCGCGCAGAACUCCGAUUGCGAAGGCAGCAUGCCGGCUCCACACUGACGCUGAGGCACGAAAGCGUGGGUAUCGAACAGGAUUAGAUACCCGAGUAGUC
RNAcentral lists this ribosomal RNA (459 nucleotides) under uncultured bacterium. RNAcentral's name for it is "partial 16S ribosomal RNA". It matches the Rfam family "Bacterial small subunit ribosomal RNA", at positions 338 to 795 of the family's 1533-position model. The record is from RNAcentral.